RNAcentral lists this ribosomal RNA (512 nucleotides) under uncultured bacterium. Its description in RNAcentral is "bacterial LSU rRNA". It matches the Rfam family "Bacterial large subunit ribosomal RNA", at positions 813 to 1321 of the family's 2925-position model. The record is from RNAcentral.
GAUUAGGGGUGAAAGGCCAAUCAAACUGGGUGAUAGCUGGUUCUCCCCGAAAUAUAUUUAGGUAUAGCCUCGAGUAAUUGUAUGAUGGAGGUAGAGCACUGAUUGGGCUAGGGGUCUUUACCAGAUUACCAAAACCCACUCAAACUCCGAAUGCCAUUCAUAUCUAUCUCGGGAGACAGUCCAUGGGUGAUAAGGUCCGUGGACGAGAGGGAAAGAGCCCCAGACCAUCAGCUAAGGUCCCCAAAAUUUACACUAAGUGGAGAACGUUGUGGGGUUACUUUGACAACUAGGAGGUUGGCUUAGAAGCAGCCAUCCUUUAAAGAAAGCGUAAUAGCUCACUAGUCGAGUCGGCCUGCGCGGAAGAUAUAACGGGGCUCAAACUGGUAACCGAAGCUGCGGAUGCACGUAAGUGCGUGGUAGGGGAGCGUUCUGUACGCCGCUGAAGGUGGAUCGGAGAGGUCUGCUGGAGGUAUCAGAAGUGCGAAUGCUGACAUGAGUAACGAUAAUGCGGU